This 1379-nucleotide ribosomal RNA is filed under the name Vibrio parahaemolyticus. RNAcentral's name for it is "bacterial LSU rRNA". It matches the Rfam family "Bacterial large subunit ribosomal RNA", at positions 1588 to 2925 of the family's 2925-position model. The record is from RNAcentral. Lineage: Bacteria; Pseudomonadati; Pseudomonadota; Gammaproteobacteria; Vibrionales; Vibrionaceae.
AAGUCAUUGAUGCCAUGCUUCCAGGAAAAGCCUCUAAGCUUCAGAUUGUAAGGAAUCGUACCCCAAACCGACACAGGUGGUCGGGUAGAGAAUACCAAGGCGCUUGAGAGAACUCGGGUGAAGGAACUAGGCAAAAUGGUACCGUAACUUCGGGAGAAGGUACGCUCUUGAUGGUGAAGUCCCUUGCGGAUGGAGCUGACGAGAGUCGCAGAUACCAGGUGGCUGCAACUGUUUAUUAAAAACACAGCACUGUGCAAAAUCGUAAGAUGACGUAUACGGUGUGACGCCUGCCCGGUGCCGGAAGGUUAAUUGAUGGGGUUAGACUUCGGUCGAAGCUCUUGAUCGAAGCCCCGGUAAACGGCGGCCGUAACUAUAACGGUCCUAAGGUAGCGAAAUUCCUUGUCGGGUAAGUUCCGACCUGCACGAAUGGCGUAAUGAUGGCCACGCUGUCUCCACCCGAGACUCAGUGAAAUUGAAAUCGCUGUGAAGAUGCAGUGUACCCGCGGCUAGACGGAAAGACCCCGUGAACCUUUACUACAGCUUGGCACUGAACAUUGACCCUACAUGUGUAGGAUAGGUGGGAGGCUUUGAAGCACGUACGCCAGUAUGUGUGGAGCCGUCCUUGAAAUACCACCCUUGUAGUGUUGAUGUUCUAACGUCGACCCCUUAUCGGGGUUGCGGACAGUGCCUGGUGGGUAGUUUGACUGGGGCGGUCUCCUCCCAAAGAGUAACGGAGGAGCACGAAGGUGGGCUAAUCACGGUUGGACAUCGUGAGGUUAGUGCAAUGGCAUAAGCCCGCUUGACUGCGAGAAUGACAAUUCGAGCAGGUGCGAAAGCAGGUCAUAGUGAUCCGGUGGUUCUGAAUGGAAGGGCCAUCGCUCAACGGAUAAAAGGUACUCCGGGGAUAACAGGCUGAUACCGCCCAAGAGUUCAUAUCGACGGCGGUGUUUGGCACCUCGAUGUCGGCUCAUCACAUCCUGGGGCUGAAGUCGGUCCCAAGGGUAUGGCUGUUCGCCAUUUAAAGUGGUACGCGAGCUGGGUUUAGAACGUCGUGAGACAGUUCGGUCCCUAUCUGCCGUGGGCGUUGGAAGAUUGAAGGGGGCUGCUCCUAGUACGAGAGGACCGGAGUGGACGAACCUCUGGUGUUCGGGUUGUGUCGCCAGACGCAUUGCCCGGUAGCUAAGUUCGGAAUCGAUAACCGCUGAAAGCAUCUAAGCGGGAAGCGAGCCCUGAGAUGAGUCUUCCCUGAUACUUUAAGUAUCCUAAAGGGUUGUCGGAGACUACGACGUUGAUAGGUCAGGUGUGUAAGUGCUGUGAGGCAUUGAGCUAACUGAUACUAAUUGCCCGUGAGGCUUAACCAUACAACACCCAAGGGGUUU